AGAGUUUGAUCAUGGCUCAGAUUGAACGCUGGCGGCAGGCCUAACACAUGCAAGUCGAACGGUAACAGGAUAGCUUGCUAUCGCUGACGAGUGGCGGACGGGUGAGUUAUACUUAGGGAUCUGCCUCUGUGUGGGGGAUAACUAUUGGAAACGAUAGCUAAUACCGCAUAAUGUCUACGGACCAAAGCGGGCUUCGGCUCGUGCGCCCAGAGGAACCUAAGCGAGAUUAGCUAGUUGGUGAGGUAAAGGCUCACCAAGGCGACAAUCUCUAGCUGUUCUGAGAAGGAAGAUCAGCCACCACUGGAAACUGAAGACACGGUCCAGACUCCUACGGGAGGCAGCAUUGGGGAAU
RNAcentral lists this ribosomal RNA (352 nucleotides) under uncultured gamma proteobacterium SUR-ATT-10. RNAcentral's name for it is "bacterial SSU rRNA". It matches the Rfam family "Bacterial small subunit ribosomal RNA", at positions 8 to 362 of the family's 1533-position model. The record is from RNAcentral. Lineage: Bacteria; Pseudomonadati; Pseudomonadota; Gammaproteobacteria.